GAUGAAGGCCUUCGGGUUGUAAAGCUCUUUUGGCGGGGACGAUGAUGACGGUACCCGCAGAAUAAGCCCCGGCUAACUUCGUGCCAGCAGCCGCGGUAAGACGAAGGGGGCUAGCGUUGUUCGGAAUUACUGGGCGUAAAGCGCGUGUAGGCGGUUGCCAUAGUCAGGUGUGAAAGCCUUGAGCUCAACUCAAGAAAUGCACUUGAUACUGGGCGACUAGAGGACCGGAGAGGAUAGUGGAAUUCCCAGUGUAGUGGUGAAAUACGUAGAGAUUGGGAAGAACACCAGUGGCGAAGGCGGCUAUCUGGACGGUUACUGACGCUAAGACGCGAAAGCGUGGGGAGCAAACAGGAUUAGAUACCCUGGUAGUCCACGCCGUAAACGAUGGGUGCUAGACGUUGGCGGGCUUGCUCGUCAGUGUCGCAGCUAACGCGUUAAGCACCCCGCCUGGGGAGUACGGCCGCAAGGUUG
This 471-nucleotide ribosomal RNA is filed under the name uncultured bacterium. RNAcentral's name for it is "bacterial SSU rRNA". It matches the Rfam family "Bacterial small subunit ribosomal RNA", at positions 407 to 896 of the family's 1533-position model. The record is from RNAcentral.